CCUACGGGCGGCAGCAGUGAGGAAUAUUGGUCAAUGGCCGGAAGGCUGAACCAGCCAAGCCGCGUGAAGUCCGCCUGUGCCCAGCCUUUUCCCCUUCUUUUGUCCCGGGCCCCCCUCCGGCUCGAGAGCCUGACCGAGGGUACUUGAAGAAAACGCAUCGGCUAACUCCGUGCCAGCCGCCGCGGUAAUACGGCGGAUGCGCGCGUUCUCCGGCUUUAUUGGGUUUACAGGGUGCGUCGGCGGACUGUUCCGUCCGCGGUAACAGCCCGGGGCUCAACCCCGGCGCGCCGUUGACACUGGCUGUCUUGAGAUGUCGAGAGGUAUGCGGAAUGCGCAGUGUAGCGGUGAAAUGCUUAGAUAUUGCGCAGAACUCCGAUUGCGAAGGCAGCAUACCGGCGGCGAUCUGACGCUGAGGCACGAAAGCGUGGGUAUCGAACAGGAUUAGAUACCCUGGUAGUC
Molecule: ribosomal RNA, 459 nt
Filed under: uncultured bacterium
Lineage: Bacteria
Description: partial 16S ribosomal RNA
Rfam family: Bacterial small subunit ribosomal RNA
Source: RNAcentral